GCCUUCGUGGUGUAACGGUAGCACUCUGGGCCAAUAUUCCAGAGGUCCGUGGUUCGAUUCCCGACGAAGGCG
RNAcentral lists this transfer RNA (72 nucleotides) under Stegodyphus dumicola. RNAcentral describes it as "tRNA-Ile". It matches the Rfam family "tRNA". Rfam says of the family: Transfer RNA (tRNA) molecules are approximately 80 nucleotides in length. Their secondary structure includes four short double-helical elements and three loops (D, anti-codon, and T loops). The record is from RNAcentral. Lineage: Eukaryota; Metazoa; Arthropoda; Arachnida; Araneae; Eresidae.